AGGGAAUAUUGGACAAUGGGGGCAACCCUGAUCCAGCCAUGCCGCGUGAGUGAAGAAGGCCCUCGGGUUGUAAAGCUCUUUUGUCCGGAGAGAAAAGCAUUCGGUGAAUACCCGGAUGUUCUGACGGUACCGGAAGAAUAAGCACCGGCUAACUUCGUGCCAGCAGCCGCGGUAAUACGCAGGGUGCAAGCGUUACUCGGAAUUACUGGGCGUAAAGCGUGCGUAGGUGGUUGUUUAAGUCUGAUGUGAAAGCCCUGGGCUCAACCUGGGAAUGGCAUUGGAAACUGGGCAGCUAGAGUGCGGUAGAGGGUAGUGGAAUUCCCGGUGUAGCAGUGAAAUGCGUAGAGAUCGGGAGGAACAUCUGUGGCGAAGGCGACUGCCUGGACCAGCACUGACACUGAGGCACGAAAGCGUGGGGAGCAAACA
RNAcentral lists this ribosomal RNA (426 nucleotides) under uncultured bacterium. RNAcentral's name for it is "bacterial SSU rRNA". It matches the Rfam family "Bacterial small subunit ribosomal RNA", at positions 356 to 774 of the family's 1533-position model. The record is from RNAcentral.